Molecule: long non-coding RNA, 331 nt
Filed under: Fukomys damarensis (Damara mole-rat)
Lineage: Eukaryota; Metazoa; Chordata; Mammalia; Rodentia; Bathyergidae
Description: lncRNA (ENSFDAG00000032671.1)
Source: RNAcentral
CUGAGGGGUCAGCGCGGCAUCAGCCUGCAGAGACAGCUACUCUGGACGGUGCCUUGGGAAAGCUGGUCACAGCCCGGCUCAGCUGCUUUGGGGAGUUCAGAGGAGGCUGAGCAUGCGCACUACUCUGGAGAAGCCUGACCACAGCCAAUCGCUGCUCCUCCCUCUAGAAGGAAACCCUGGCUGUACCUGCUCUUUCAUCUCCGGGUGGAAAAUGUCUAUCGGCUGGAAACCUGGAAAAGCUUCGAAGAAUCAUUAUUGGAUAUUCACAGAUCUGCCUGUAUCCUCUGGAUCUUUCAGAAAACGCAGUCUGAGGUAAGGAUUAAACUGUUGA